This 671-nucleotide long non-coding RNA is filed under the name Pan troglodytes (chimpanzee). RNAcentral's name for it is "lincRNA". The record is from RNAcentral. Lineage: Eukaryota; Metazoa; Chordata; Mammalia; Primates; Hominidae.
GCCAUUCUCCUGCCUCAGCCUCCCGAGUAGCUGGGACUACAGGCGCCUGCCCCCACGCCCGGCUAAUUUUUUGUAUUUUUAGUAGAGACGGGGUUUCACCGCAUUAGCCAGGAUGGUCCUGAUCUCCUGACCUUGUGAUCCACCCGCCUUGGCCUCCCAAAGUGCUGGGAUUACAGGCGUGAGCCACCGCGCCCGGCCCACCACAGUUUUAAUUCUGAAGAUGCAGUAUUAAGAGAGGAGGCUAAAGAAGCACACACUUGCUUAAUUUUUCCUUCAUUAUAUGCUGGGGAUGGCAGCAGCAGCUUGUGGCUGAGUUUCGGUGUUCUGCCUGACGGGUGACAGCUGAGCAGGCACUAGGUCCUUGCAAAACGCAGGAUGCUGGGGAGGGUCUUCACCUUGCAUGGUGUCCCGUCCCACACUGCUCCUCAGGUUGGGAGUGGUGGGGAGUUACUGUUUAAUGUGUACAGAAUUUCUCUUUGGGAUGACAAAAAUGUCUGGAAAUGGAUGGUGGUGAUGGUUGUAGAGCUUUACAGAUUUACUUAAUGCCACUGAAUUAUUUUACUUAAUGCCACUGAAUUAUACACUUCAAAUGAUUAAAAUGGUAAAUUUUAUUUAUCUUUUACCACAAUUUUUUUUAAAACCUCAGUAAAUAAAAUGCAACUUAAGGCUUC